Eleginops maclovinus (Patagonian blennie) is the source of this 2862-nucleotide RNA transcript. It is a transcript of the gene named E3 ubiquitin-protein ligase CCNB1IP1, with no coding region annotated. The record is from RefSeq and is a predicted model, not a curated record. The transcript is spliced from 6 exons. Lineage: Eukaryota; Metazoa; Chordata; Actinopteri; Perciformes; Eleginopidae.
AUGUCUUUCUGCGAUGACACACUCCUGUGUAACUUCCCAAAGUGUCGCACCAAGCUGAGCGGCUUUGCCUGGGUCACAGCUUGCUCGCACGUCUUCUGUGAUCAGCAUGGGUCUGGUGAGUUCAGCCGCUCCCCCGCCAUUUGCCCGGCCUGCUCCUCUGCGCUGUCUGGGAAGCUGGACAUUGUGAGGACAGAGCUGUCACCAUCUGAGGAGUACAAAGCCAUGGUGCUGGCAGGCCUGCGACCAGAUGUGAUUCUGGACAUCAGCGCCCGAGCUCUGGCCUUUUGGAGUUAUCAGGUCCAUCAGGAGCGCAUGUUUCAAGAGUACAGUCUGUCUCGGGCAGAGGCCCAGCUGAAGCAGAUGGAUAAAGUGUUGACUCAGCAGAACCAAAGCAGAGAGGUGGAGCUCUCCGGCAUGAGGGGGGAAAUCGCUUCCCUGAAGAAAGUGAUGGAGGAGUAUAAAAGGAAGUACAGCGAGGUUUCUGAGAGGCUGAUGGAGAGAAACAGGCAGUACCAGAAACUACAGGGGCUGUACGACUCUCUGAGGCUGCGUAACAUGGUGGUGGAUGUGGGGGACAGACACAUGCUGCCACAACCAGGACGGAAUGACUAUAACGUUGGCAUGGCUCGGCGGGGAACUCCCCAGAGGAGCCCACAGUUCCUCUCCGUGGCCCCCGAUGGGGACAGUCAAUUCUUCUCCUGCCUGGAGGCUGACGGAGCAAAAAGCUUCUUCUAGUACAGCUCCCCCGCCAGGUAGAGGCCGUCCAGACUUCAAGAAGCACUGAGAUGGCCACAUGUUUCAUAACAACGUAGGACCCAGACGCUCUACUCACACCAGGACGUUCCGUCUGUGACGUCAAGCUGGACCGCUUCACGGGCCAAGACCACGCUGUCCAUCACGUGCUUGUUGUGGUCUUCGCUGUUCGCCGUCGGCAGCUGUCGCAGCACCAUAGACAAGUUGCGUAGUGACACUUUGUUCUUACUCUACACAGGGGGGAGAUAAAGAAUAAGAAACACAAGUUAAUAAGUUAACAGGAGCUUUCAUUCAGAAACAACCAUACACAAUUACACUGCUUGCAAUAGUGCCAGAAAUUAUAACCUACACUUUCACAAUGACCUUCUCUCUGUCUUUAAUGUACCUGUUGCAAGGCUCCUGUGAAGCAGUUCUUGGCCCCAGUCAGGUCUCCCUUUUUCCAGUACUGCUCCCCCAGUGUGUUCCAGCCCUCCACCAGGCCUGGCUCCAGCUUCACGGCGCGGGAAAGGCACUCUUCUGCUACGGCGCUGAAGUCAGGAGACACGUUCAGACACCUGCCCUUCUGCAGCAGGAACUCUGCUUUGUGUUUUAAUUGAUCUCUUCUUCAGUGUCUUUUCCAUCUCCUGUGCGACAUCGUUUUGUUUCCUCCCAGCUUCCUCCACACUGUGAGUCUCAAAAUAGUUGUCUCUGAAAUUAUACAGGUCAUCCACGAGCUCCUGUGAUGUGAGGGAAAAAAUGAUUGUGAGUUCUUGACAGCAGUUAGAAAUAGACCAAAGGCACAGUGAAUAUUGAGUUAGAAAAAAUGUUUUGGACGAAUAUUGUCUAUGAGAUGUGGAAAUUUAAUAAGUAUUUAUUAAGUUGUUAGGGCUAUAUUGCAUAAAAUAAUAUACCUGUAAUUAACUAACCAAUUCCACUGAAGUUGUAAACAUCAAACGAUUCAAAUGUAAAUCAUAAAAGUGUAUUAAGUUAUUAGAAUUAUUUUGAUUUUACAGGAAACCAUAUAAUAACCAUACAAACUGGGAACAUGGAGUUUGAAAACGGUGGGCAUUCAUCAGCCAGACAGGGGUCUCAUGAAAGAAGCUUAAGAGUUGCAUUAUGGGAACUGUAGGAUGCAGUGUUGUCGGUGCUUGACCCAUAUACGAGUCAGAUCGUUAGAUUUUGUGAUGCUUAGUGGAAAUGCAAUACUCAAAUUAUUGACGAUUCCCAAGUGAACAACUGCAAAAUCAAAUGAGAUGUAUCUUUAUGAUGGACAUUAGUAAAAGGUGAUACGGCCUGUACACCUGUCUUUAGACUCAUUGUGUCUAACACAUAUGGUAGAUUUGAUAAAGGCUGACUUAGUAAUGGACCUUGAACUGACUUAAACAUCUCCAUCUUUGUUGCAUUAAGUCACACUGACAAUCUGGUGACUCAGCAAGAAGUGGAUAGAUAAGCUAAUAAUGCAUAUUAGUCUGGUAUCUAACUAUGAAAUAGGGUGACUGUAAAGCAUAUUCUACACAUAGAAUAAAUAAUACGACUCUCAUACAUCCGACAUAGUCUUAUAAGUAAAGGAAGAAUACUAGACAAGGUAUGUUAGCAUUGCAGUUGUUAUAGUAACAAGAUGUCAAGCUAGCAAAUGAAGAUGCACACACAAGAAAAACACGCUGAGCUCCCGAGAAGUCAAGCAACGUGAAGGCUUGGUUUUAAAUAUAAGUGCAUGGUUAUUGAAAUAACGUACCUUCACAAUUUGCAGCUCUUUUUUCUCUUUUACAGGCUCAACACUCUUCUCCUCCUCCGCCAUCUUUGCGUCAGCAGAAGAAAAAGGCUGGUUAAUAAAAUAAAGAAAAGGCUGUUAGCAGAUUGACCACCAACGAGAAAAAAAUAUAAAAAAAUACUAGACGUGUAUUUAAUCCAAGUGUAUGAAAAUCAGAUGAUGACAGGAAACAUGUAUCUACUAAAAUUGCACGAAAACAAUGUAUUUUAGCGCGAAGGAAAUAGGCUUUUAAUUUCGCCGAUACCGGAAGUCCGUCACCAAAAUGAACCCGAUGAAAAACAUUGUCACAUUAACAGAAAUACUUUUUUUUUCUUUGCUAGAAUAAAGCUUGGAGAAAAUGUGGAUGACGGCAUUAUAAU